GUGGGGAAUCUUGCGCAAUGGGCGAAAGCCUGACGCAGCCAUGCCGCGUGGAUGAUGAAGGUCUUAGGAUUGUAAAAUCCUUUCACCGGUGAAGAUAAUGACUGUAGCCGGAGAAGAAGCCCCGGCUAACUUCGUGCCAGCAGCCGCGGUAAUACGAAGGGGGCUAGCGUUGCUCGGAUUUACUGGGCGUAAAGGGCGCGUAGGCGGACAUUUAAGUCAGGGGUGAAAUCCCGGGGCUCAACCUCGGAACUGCCUUUGAUACUGGGUGUCUUGAGUAUGAGGGAGGUGUGUGGAACUCCGAGUGUAGAGGUGAAAUUCGUAGAUAUUCGGAAGAACACCAGUGGCGAAGGCGACACACUGGCUCAUUACUGACGCUGAGGCGCGAAAGCGUGGGGAGCAAACAGGAUUAGAAACCCGGGUAGUCC
RNAcentral lists this ribosomal RNA (425 nucleotides) under uncultured bacterium. RNAcentral's name for it is "partial 16S ribosomal RNA". It matches the Rfam family "Bacterial small subunit ribosomal RNA", at positions 354 to 796 of the family's 1533-position model. The record is from RNAcentral.